AUACGGAGGAUGCGAGCGUUAUCCGGAUUUAUUGGGUUUAAAGGGUGCGCAGGCGGCCAUUUAAGUCAGCGGUUAAAUCGUGGGGCUCAACCCCAUUCUGCCGUUGAUACUGGGUGGCUUGAUUGCGGUCGAGGUUGGCGGAAUUCGUUGUGUAGCGGUGAAAUGCAUAGAUAUGACGAAGAACACCGAUUGCGUAGGCAGCUGACCAGACCGCAAAUGACGCUCAUGCACGAAAGUGCGGGGAUCGAACAGGAUUAGAUACCCUGGUAGUCCGCACAGUAAACGAUGAAUACUUGUUUUCGGCGAUAUAAUGUCGGAGGCAAAGCGAAAGCGUUAAGUAUUCCACCUGGGGAGUACGCCGGCAACGGUGAAACUUAAAGGAAUUGGCGGGG
Molecule: ribosomal RNA, 392 nt
Filed under: uncultured bacterium
Lineage: Bacteria
Description: partial 16S ribosomal RNA
Rfam family: Bacterial small subunit ribosomal RNA
Source: RNAcentral